RNAcentral lists this ribosomal RNA (850 nucleotides) under uncultured archaeon. RNAcentral describes it as "bacterial SSU rRNA". It matches the Rfam family "Archaeal small subunit ribosomal RNA", at positions 38 to 828 of the family's 1478-position model. The record is from RNAcentral.
GUACAUGUCGACUAAGCAUGUUGAGUUACGGAGACUGACGAGUCGUACGAGUCAAUCGUAGUAGCCAAUUUGGCCAAUGUCACGUGCAUUGCCUCGGCGAAUCUGAGGAUAAUCCGCGAUAGGCCAUGAUUUCUGGAAUGGUUCAUGUUAUGAUUUCUAUGUGCGCCCUGUUAUUGCACUGCGACCGAUCAGGCUGUUGGUGAAGUAAUGUUCCACCACAUCUGUAACCGCUACGUUUUCUGAGAUGAGGAACCCGGAGAUAGGCACUGACACAUGGCCCUUCGCCCUAUGUGGCGCACCAGGCUCGAAAUCUCUGCCAUACUGUAAAGCUUGACUGGGUUACUCUGAGUGGUUCCCGUUAAGGCAGAUCUUUUGCCACCUUUAAAAAUGGUGCUAAAUACCGCUUGUUUCACUCUGUUCGUCUUCCUUCUCGCUAAUAUCAGCACCUUUAGUGGUCGAGAUCAUUAUUGGGCCUACCCUUUCCGUAUCCGAUACUGCGAUUCUUCCGUUAUCUCACACCUGCUUAAUUGAUGAGCUGCGUGGUAUACUACAGCGCUCGUACGCGUGAUAGACAAGCUUUACUCACUUGGAUAGUGGUAAAAUCCGCUGAUUCAUUGAAGACCAUUAUUGCCAAAUGCAACUUGACUCAACGCUAUCUACGUCGAUUCAUGUGAUCUGGGAGAGACUAUCGCAAUAUAUACCCAGUUAUUCCCAGCUGUAAUCGAUGCACACUCAUUGAUGGCCUGUUCUUUCAAAUUCCCGGCCCACAGGCUACUCAUUAAAUCUGACCACGUAAAAAUCCCGUCGGCAAAAUCAAUCUUUAACCAAUUGAAAUGUCACUACUGGGCUU